This 381-nucleotide ribosomal RNA is filed under the name uncultured eukaryote. Its description in RNAcentral is "partial 18S ribosomal RNA". It matches the Rfam family "Eukaryotic small subunit ribosomal RNA", at positions 592 to 976 of the family's 1831-position model. The record is from RNAcentral.
CAAUAGCGUAUAUUAAAGCUGUUGCGGUUAAAAAGCUCGUAGUUGGAUUUCUGUCAAGGACAACUGGUCCGCCCCUCGGGUGAGCACAUAGUUUGGUCUUGGCAUCUUGUUGGAAACUGUUGCUGCACUUGGUUGUGUGGCGCAGUGUCCAGCACUUUCACUUUGAGGAAAUUGGAGUGUUUCAAGCAGGCACAUGCCUUUGGACACAGUAGCAUGGAAUAAUUAGAUUGGGCUUUUGCUCCAACUUGUCGGUCUCUGGAGCUGAGGUGAGAAUUAAUGGGGAUUGUUGGGGGCAUCCGAAUUUAGCCGUCAGAGGUGAAAUUCUUGGAUCUGCUAAAGACGGACAACUGCGAAAGCGUUUGCCCAGGAUGUUUUCAUUGA